RNAcentral lists this ribosomal RNA (238 nucleotides) under uncultured bacterium. Its description in RNAcentral is "partial 16S ribosomal RNA". It matches the Rfam family "Bacterial small subunit ribosomal RNA", at positions 100 to 334 of the family's 1533-position model. The record is from RNAcentral.
CGGAACGGGUGAGUAACGCGUGAGGAACCUGCCUCAAAGAGGGGACGAACAGUUGGAAACGACUGCUAAUACCGCAUAAGCCCACGGCUCGGCAUCGAGCAGAGGGAAAAGGAGUGAUCCGCUUUGAGAUGGCCUCGCGUCCGAUUAGCUGGUUGGUGAGGUAACGGCCCACCAAGGCGACGAUCGGUAGCCGGACUGAGAGGUUGAACGGCCACAUUGGGACUGAGACACGGCCCAG